CCGUAAACGAUGAUAACUAGCUGUCCGGGCACUUGGUGUCUGGGUGGCGCAGCUAACGCAUUAAGUUAUCCGCCUGGGGAGUACGGUCGCAAGAUUAAAACUCAAAGGAAUUGACGGGGGCCUGCACAAGCGGUGGGGCAUGUGGUUUAAUUCGAAGCAACGCGCAGAACCUUACCAGCGUUUGACAUCCCGCGCUACUUCCAGAGAUGGAAGGUUCCCUUCGGGGACGCGGUGACAGGUGCUGCAUGGCUGUCGUCAGCUCGUGUCGUGAGAUGUUGGGUUAAGUCCCGCAACGAGCGCAACCCUCGUCCUUAGUUGCCAUCAUUCAGUUGGGCACUCUAAGGAAACCGCCGGUGAUAAGCCGGAGGAAGGUGGGGAUGACGUCAAGUCCUCAUGGCCCUUACACGCUGGGCUACACACGUGCUACAAUGGCGGUGACAGUGGGCAGCAAGCACGCGAGUGUGAGCUAAUCUCCAAAAGCCGUCUCAGUUCGGAUUGUUCUCUGCAACUCGAGAGCAUGAAGGCGGAAUCGCUAGUAAUCGCGGAUCAGCAUGCCGCGGUGAAUACGUUCCCAGGCCUUGUACACACCGCCCAAGCUUC
Molecule: ribosomal RNA, 600 nt
Filed under: uncultured bacterium
Lineage: Bacteria
Description: bacterial SSU rRNA
Rfam family: Bacterial small subunit ribosomal RNA
Source: RNAcentral